Populus euphratica (Euphrates poplar) is the source of this 1234-nucleotide long non-coding RNA. RefSeq lists it as uncharacterized. The transcript has 3 exons. NCBI's taxonomy places the organism in Eukaryota, Viridiplantae, Streptophyta, Magnoliopsida, Malpighiales, Salicaceae. The record is from RefSeq and is a predicted model, not a curated record.
UGUCCUUCCCUUCUAACUUAGGGAGUCCCACAAUACAAUACAUGGGAAUAUUCUUCCAAGUUCCUUCUAGAACUGGUAGAGGUUGCAGGAGUCCAGGGUUCAAACAGCAAUUAAUGGCCUUUGGGAGAGUACAGCCAGCGGAACCUGCAAGCUACAGAACUGUCAAACUUGCAAGAUUUUUCCGGUUUUGUUAAAUCUGAAUUGACAACUCACAUGGAAACAAUAGCAACCAACCAUAUUGAUGCACAUAAGAACAUCCGUUCCCUUGGGAUUCCUUCUUCUGAGGAUAUGAAAGGAUUGAGAAGCAAUCACUACCACUCAAUUCCUAAGAUCAUGGAAGCCGGACGAUGUUUUGUGGAUGAAUACAAGGUGGAUAGGCCUUAUUGUUUGCCACUUGAAAAGGGACCGUCUAAUACACCAGCACGGAAUCUAUUGAAGAACUCAGAAAACCCAAAUUUCAAAAGUUGACAAGAUCAUUUUCAGGAGUUUCAGCAGUGAAGCAGAAUCUGGGGACCAAAAUAUUCUGUCUGAUGCCAGUGAGUCUGCUCACUCCUUGAAUAAUUCGAGAGUUACUCCCACAGCCGUCAACUAAGGAGAAGAAACUGGCUGACAGUAACGACACGGUAACACAGUUAGCAUAUACAUAUUUGCAGAAGAAUAGCUAUAGAAAGUAGCAUUCCACCAGUUCACUUCUGUUUUAUAAGGAUUUGUAUAUCGAUUCUUCCCUCAACUAAGUUCCAGCAAGUUUCAAUUUCUUGAGCGUCGCUGCAUCAAAUUCUCUGUAUCAGUGCUUACUGUUAAAGCAAUUUCUUAUGAGUUUUUAACUUGUUUGAGUCUACCAGCCAAGUUAACAUACGGAAACUAGAUUUGUGUUGUAUAGAUGCCUACCACAUUCUACUUUAAUUGAUUUAUUGGUGUAUCAGUAGACUGAAACCCGAACUUUGCAGGGGAUUGGAACAACGGCACGUUGAGCUAUAGCUCCUUGGCACAUCCCUCUGAAACAGAUGAUACUCACUGAAAUCAGUUGGAUGUAGUCGGGAUUAGAAACGGUUGUUCUGAGGAGGCUUUCAAGCUGCAAAAUCUACAACUCUGAUCUGGAAGUAGAACAACACUUCAACUGGCUUCAGGAUAAUGCAAUUCAAAUGUCAGCUGUUAUCUUUAAAAGACAUAUCAACAUGUUUGUAUUCAGUCACCGAUCUCAAAUUACAAAAGGAGAAAACAUUGAAAAUGAGCA